This 1007-nucleotide long non-coding RNA is filed under the name Parus major (Great Tit). RNAcentral's name for it is "lncRNA (ENSPMJG00000018878.1)". The record is from RNAcentral. Lineage: Eukaryota; Metazoa; Chordata; Aves; Passeriformes; Paridae.
GCCCAUGAUGAUCCUCAAGGCUGACAGAUGAAGACACAUGCACUGAGGAGAGACAGCAUCGGUGAUUAUGGAUCUCAUAACCCACUUGGGCCAUUAACUCUCGGAAUUCUCAGUAUUCUGCCCCUUCCAGAAGGAAUUCACAGCUGCUCACAGAUGGCAACUUCCCAUCCUGGCUCCCAUGAAUGAUUCAAACCUUCCUCUGCAGCCUCCCAGAUAAGACUGAAGCGAUGCAAGAGGCCUUGAGCCAGCCCCUUUGCACACAGGUAUUUGCCCUCAAAGCAGGAAAGCAGAAUGGUGAAGAUGCACGAAGGGAAUCAAGACGUGCUGCACCCCUCAUCCCUCAGCCCAAGCCCUUGGUUCUGGCAGCAGCUGACUGCACUGGACAGUGUCAGACAUUCCACAACACCUUGAACUGGGUUUGCACAGCUGCUUCAUAACCUACAGCUCUAAUUUCCUUUCUCUCUGGGGCUAGAAGCAUUCAUUCCCCCUGCAAAUGAAGUCAAUGUGUUUUAAGUUGGAACUGAGGACAGAAACUGUCCAAUUCAUUUCCAACUCCUAAGACUGUAUUGUGUGACUGAUAUUAAAGAACAAAGGCAGAUACCCUCCCCAGCUGUAAAAUAAGGCCAUGACUCUGAAGGGCACAGAGUUGUUCAUUAGAGGUUUCUACAGAAAAUAUUAAGGGCACCAAAUGAUCCCACCAUUUCCAGUUUCCCUUUCAAGUGAUUCAUCUCCAGAUCAGACCUGGAUUCAAAACCCCAUCAUUGGAAGGACCCUCAUUACCUGUGCUAUCAGCACCAUCCAUGAAUGUAUCCUUCACCUCCUAAUUAGGCCAACAAAGGAGGGCUAUUAACAGCUAAAUGUGUUACAAAUGCAGCAUUAGGGGUAGAGACUAUUGACCUUUUUACUCCCAGACAUCUACAUACCCCUUUGUUCUGCUGAACACAGCUCCCCCUUGUCAGGGCAUCAGUGGUGACGGGAAUAUAAUCUGUUCUCUGAUUGCACACAGG